AUUGAACGCUGGCGGCAUGCCUUACACAUGCAAGUCGAACGGCAGCAUAGGAGCUUGCUCCUGACGGCGAGUGGCGAACGGGUGAGUAAUAUAUCGGAACGUGCCCUAGAGCGGGGGAUAACUAGUCGAAAGACUAGCUAAUACCGCAUACGAUCUACGGAGGAACGAUGGGGAUCGCAAGACCUCAUGAUACGGGAGCGGCCGAUAUCUGAUUAGCUAGUUGGUGGGGUAAAAGCUCACCAAGGCGACGAUCAGUAGCUGGUCUGAGAGGACGACCAGCCACACUGGGACUGAGACACGGCCCAGACUCCUACGGGAGGCAGCAGUGGGGAAUUUUGGACAAUGGGGGCAACCCUGAUCCAGCAAUACCGCGUGAGUGAAGAAGGCCUUCGGGUUGUAAAGCUCUUUUGUCAGGGAAGAAACGGUUCUGGAUAAUACCUGGGACUAAUGACGGUACCUGAAGAAUAAGCACCGGCUAACUACGUGCCAGCAGCCGCGGUAA
This 502-nucleotide ribosomal RNA is filed under the name uncultured bacterium. Its description in RNAcentral is "partial 16S ribosomal RNA". It matches the Rfam family "Bacterial small subunit ribosomal RNA", at positions 30 to 523 of the family's 1533-position model. The record is from RNAcentral.